Molecule: long non-coding RNA, 1237 nt
Filed under: Marmota monax (woodchuck)
Lineage: Eukaryota; Metazoa; Chordata; Mammalia; Rodentia; Sciuridae
Source: RNAcentral
AAGCAGAGCAGAAAUAUCAGAAAAACUUGAACUUAAAAGGCAAGAGUAAAACUGGGACUAAGGGAUUUACAGUUGUUAAAGACAUUAUUGCCACUAAAGAAAUGCUAAGGACAUAGCCCAGAGACAAUAAGAAAGAUGGCUGGAGGUCCCAAUCUCCAGCUAAAGAGAGAAAAAAUGAAAAUUUUCUUGAGAAGAGACCAGUGGAGAAUCCUUCUUACACAAAGGGGCCUAGGAAAUAUUUUCAACAUGCCCAGUUACCCUGAGGUUGCUGCAGUCAGGGUCCCUGGAGGCUUGGCUACUGCUCAAGAUGGCAGCAGACCUUGGUGUCAACCACCUGGUGCUGGUUCUGCAGGGAUGCAGGAGGCUGGACUUAAGUGGUUAUCGAGUCUUCCAAAAAGAUUUCAAAGGAAGUUCUGGAGGUCAGGCAAAGUAUAGCAGGGUCAGAGUCCCUGCAAGGCAGCCCCUGAGAAGUCAAAGUGUGGAGAUAUGAGGAGGAAGCCAAGGUUACAGUGAAGACCCCCAAGAUCAAGAAAUGUCAGUAACAGGGGACAUCAUCCUAGGAAAGUUGUAGGAAUUGAACAGAGACAAGCCAACAGAAAGACCACUUGCAACCAGCAAGGCCACCGGGGCAGAGCUACACAAGCCCUUUGGAGAGGACAUCAUGACUGUGCUCCAGAUGCCAGACACAGAACUUCAGGACUUGUUUGCCCAGCUGGAUUUUAGUCUUACUUUGAUCCUAUCCCUUCUUCCUGUGCUCCAAGUUUUGUGAAUGGAAGUGUUUACUCUGUACCAUUGUCUAUUGGAUACUUGUAAAUUGCUUUUAAUUUUGCAGGAGCUCACAAUAUGAGACUUCCUUAAGCCUCAGAACUGUGGAGACUAUGGGGAUUCUUGGGAAUGAAUUAAAUGUAUGUUGCAUUGUCAGACGAGUGGAGAUUUUGGGGGCCAGGGGCAGAAUGUUACGGAUUGGAUGUGAGAUGUUCCCAAAAAACUCAUGUGUGAGACAAUGCAAGAAGGUUUGGAGGAGAAAUGAUUGGGUUAUAGCCUUGACCUAAUCAGUAAAGUAAUGCCUGAUGGAAUUAACUGAUUGUUAACUGGAGGCAGGUGGAGUGUGGCUGGAGGAAGUGGUUCAUGGGGGUGUGGCUAUGGGGAAUAUAUUUUGUAUCUGGAGAGUGGAAUCUCUUUCCUUGCUUACUGAUCACCAUGUGAACUGCUUCUCUCUACCACACUCUUCCUCUAG